This 254-nucleotide ribosomal RNA is filed under the name uncultured bacterium. Its description in RNAcentral is "partial 16S ribosomal RNA". It matches the Rfam family "Bacterial small subunit ribosomal RNA", at positions 524 to 776 of the family's 1533-position model. The record is from RNAcentral.
GACGAACCGUGCGAACGUUCUUCGGCAUCACCGGGCUUAAAGCGCGUGUAGGCGGGGCGGCACGUCCGUCGCUGAAAUCCCCCGGCUCAACCGGGGAACGGGCGCGGAUACGACCGUCCUGGAGGGACGUAGGGGGGGCUGGAACUUCCGGUGGAGCGGUGAAAUGCGUUGAGAUCGGAAGGAACGCCCGUGGCGAAAGCGAGCCCCUGGACGUCUACUGACGCUGAGACGCGAAAGCCAGGGGAGCGAACGGG